GAGCUGUGCUGACGUCCCGCCUCUUGCAAGAUGAGAAGCGUCCGACAACUGCCUGCUACAGCUCCACCUCUGAGCGCCGUGCUUCCCGCUUCGAUCCAGAUGGGAGCGGGCGACCUACCACAUGGGAUACCUUUGGCAUCUGGGACAAUCGCAUUGAUGAACCUAUUCUCCUCCCCCCAAGCAUAAAGUAUGGGAAGCCAAUUCCAAAAGUAAGCCUAGCCAAUGUGGGCUGCAGUAGCCAUAUUGGGAAACGCAAGGAAAAUGAAGACCGGUUUCAUUAUGCGCAGCUGAGGGAAGAUGUCCUGUACUUUGCAGUAUAUGAUGGACAUGGUGGGGCAGCAGCAGCAGACUUCUGUGAUAAGUACAUGGAAAAAUAUAUUAAAGAAUUUCUUGCUGAGGAGGAGAACUUGGAAAAUGUUUUGAAUAAAGCUUUUCUAGAAAUAAACAAAGCAUAUGAAAGGCACGCUCAUCUGUCUGCCGAUGAAUCACAGGAGUAGCUGAGUGUGACAGGAUAAAAAGCAGUGAAGAGGAAACAAGGUUGGCUGUGGUAAGGCUGUGGUAAAGCUGGCACCAGACCUUUUAGACUCCUUAGUCCUGGCUGUUAAUCAGGUUCUUGUAUAUGUGUCUAGAGACAAAGCACAUCUGAAGUUCCAGUUCUAGCAACUGGAGCUUAUAGAGAGUAACUUAAGAAGGGAGAUUAGAGGUCCCCAUCCCAGUUCUGUCACAGGAGUUUCCUUAGACAUGGGAUACAAUUUUAAGGGUCAGUUUAGCCAGUCUUAAAAAACAAACAAACAAACAAAACCAAACCCAAACAAACCCAAUUUAAAAACCAACCAACCAAACAGAAACCCAAAACAACACUCCCCCUGAAAAAAACCCCAAAAAAACAAAACCAAACAAAAAACCCCAAACCAACAAAACCCAAACCAAAACCAAAGCCCAACAAACCACCAAAACCACAAACAAACUCCAAACCACAAACAAAACAAAACAUCCUGUCCCAGUGCUGGUGCAGGUGCUGGCAAAAUGACUGAGGUCAGUUUCAGAAGAACAGAAACUAUAGAAGUUUUCUCUCCAGGAAGGACUUGAAACCAACAACCAAUCUAGGAACUGAAGUGAUACUAUAUUGUCAAGCUACUUUUCUUAAGCAAUGAAUGAAUACACUCAAGUAAUGGAGUGGCUUCCUGCACUUUACCUGCUAGAUGAAUGUAUGUAGACUCAAAUAUUUUCUGGCAGGACCAGUAGCCUGACUCUUGCAGCGCUGUGAGGGAUAUGCAUCUUUCCUCUUACCUGGUACAAGAUAAGGUAUUGGGGAAAAAAGUCUUACAGCCCUAAAAAAGGGGAAUUAAAUCUAUAAAGCUCAUUCCCCAUUAUAUCCCUUUUUAUUUUAUACUGGAAUCCUUUUUCAAAAAAAUUAUGUGGCAAAGAAGUCCGGAGUCACUUUUAAUCUAUGGGGUGAGUUAAACUCAUGAGCUCAUCAGUAGAGCAGAUGUGCUUUUUAUCCAAGAGCCUCCUUGCAAAUACAUUUCCUAAAAGCCCAAUUUUAAGAAGACAUGUGAAUACAGUCUUACGUACUUCCCUGGACCAGCACCUUUCACUAACAUGAAGAUCUGUUAUAUUUGUUCCUCUCCCUGCCCCUUUGUUAGUAGGGCAGCUCUCGGUUUGGCUCAUUGAAGUGACCUCUGUUCAGUGUCAGAACAGCUCCUCGAGGAGAAGGAUUGGGAAUCGUACUUGGUAUAUUAUUCUGUUAUUCUGAAAAUGGUUUCCAAUUGUAGCAUUUCAUAUGUGAGACUUACAGAACUGGAUGACAUUAUCUGACAGUCAAGUUGUGCAACAAGCUGAGCAUUUUGGAACUGUUUAUAGUAUUUUUUUACAUUAACGAACUGGUACUGCUUAAUGAAAUACAAUGCAAAUGCCAGCAAAUUAUCAUUACAGUUACCAAGAUACUGGACAAACCCGACUCAUUAAAAUAGCUUGAGGUCAAGCAAAAUAGAGGGCAAAAGCAUUGCCAAACAUCCUCUGGGGCCCACACUCUGGCAAGCACUCAGUGUUUCUCAGGUAGGCUGAGCACCUGCAAGCUCUUGCAGGAGCCAGUGGGAUUUAAAAGAGCCCAGUGCUCUUGGUUGGUUGCCCAGCUGAAAAUCAAGCUGUAAAGCAGAGUGGAGUAACAGCGUGCAAAGACAAGUGUGGAUUUCUGAACAAAUAAAACUUUUUGCAUAUUUCUGGUUAAAAUAAUUCUAUAUUAUGUUGACUGCUUGGUGGGGAUAUUUUUGUUGUUGCUGCUGUUUUGAAAAUUACAUAAAAAUUCAAUGCUUGGCAUGUACCCUUGUUAGAAGCCUACUUCCAAACUGAUUCAGUUUGCCAGCAAAAUUUUGAAUAAUUGUGGCUAUUCUAGAUGUGACAGUCAAGAGUGUUGCUGAAGUAUCUUGAAAGUGGUGGCUGGCUGUGUAACACUGGGUAUCAGGGGUAUGCUGGGUGCUCCCCAUGACUGACCUCCUUAUGAAACCCGGCCAUAGCUGAUGAAGUGGAAAGUAAUAGCUUAGUCUUGUUCCAGUAGAUGACCCCACCAGGGUUCAUUCCUUUCACUCUAUCUGCAAAAAACCCCAGUGCAUGUUCAGGAUGUCCAGGUCUUUACUAACACAUGACCAGCCUUGAAAGUGUGUGCUUAGGUGUUUAAAGGAACGUAAGUCCUGGGACAAAUCCCUGUAGCCAAAAGUGCAUGGAUAUAGUUUGACACAUUGCCUAUAUUACUAUUUAAGGGAUAAAAACCUCAUAUAAUGGCAGAAAUUUAACAGGACUAGAGAUGUCCCUUGUUGGAGCACCUAGCUAUGUCUGGCAUGCAGUUCACUAGUGCUGUUGGAGUGCUGUACUUGUCCAGUAUCCCCUCUGACAGUGAUCUGUACCUGUUGUUUCACAAAAAAGCAUAAGAAACUUACUGGGAUAAUCUGUCCUCCACCUAAAUCCUUUCUAAUCAUUAACAGCUUAGAGAUAUGCCUGAGCCUUGAAAUAUGGUGUUUGAGAUCUCUUAAAAAACGUAUUUUCAUUCACUUCCACAUAUUUAAAUAUAUCCAGUCACUUUUAAAUCACUGCUAAAUUUAGGUCUAGGACACAGCAAAGGAAGCUGUCCAACAAAUAGGUCCUUAUCCAUGAGAGAACUGUUAACACAGAUGGACAGAAUUUUCUGAUAUUUUGGACCAGCUAUAAAACCUGAAUUGUAAAGGCUGAACAGCUUUGCUCAGCAAGGACAGAAAUAAGGAAGUGAACUGUGUGCUUCAGGAAAUUCGAGCAUCUAUCUGGAGAAUUAUAAGACAAACCCUCUCCUGGCCUAGUGCGGUCGUACAAGGUACUGCUGCUGCUUCUGUUCAUUGUGAUCCACUACUAGGAGAAAACAACAGGGAGUCUUUCCAUUGACCUCCACGUUGAGUUCAUCCAACUCUAAUCACAUUGGCCACUCACUUCUGGAAUAGCCAUCUUAUUAAAACAUAGCCAGGUAUUAACUGGAGUAUCUAUGUUUGAAAGGCACUCCUGGAAUCUUACUGUGCUGAGCAAGCAGCAAAAGUUGUUUAAAAACAACUAAAUUUAAAAAGUAGUGGGGUUUGGUAUUGUGGUUUUUUAAGUUACCAUUCAAACAUGAUUUUUAUUUCUUUGAAUAUGUUAACCUGCAACACUGAGGAAAAGGGAGAGAUGCGGAAAUUUUACCUGAAUGUAUCAUAAAGCUAUCAACAUUACAAAGGCAGCCUUUUUAUCCUUUUAAUCCUGAUUAUUACCUGAUCAAAUUAGAAGAUACUAAUUACACAAUUAAAGAGUGUUUAUUUUGCAUAUUUUCCCAUGGGCCAGAACAAUUAGUAUACUUCUAUUCCAUGCCUUUAAGAUGGCCCCAUUUUAGUUGGCAUUGGUUUGAAUUCCCCAUUUUUGUGUUAUAUGUAAAUACAUAUAUACAAAAAUACAUAAAUAACCUUGAGGAAACAGAUUGGGCCGUAUUCUGUACUGAAGAUGUUCAGAGUGGCCACUUUUGCCAUAUAGGAGACAGCUGGCCCUCUAGCACUGAUAAAAUUCUUUGGUUGAUUUGUGGGUUGGUUACUUACUUCCACAGAAAAAAAUAACCAAAAGUAGCUUUUAUUUGACUGAAUUUAAACUGGUUUUGCCAUACAGUUUUAGCAAAAAGGCAAGAAUGGUAUUAAUUCCCCAGAAAUACCAAGACUGAUUUAUCUGUAGCAAAAGAUGCAUGUGCAAGCCUCAGGUACUUAUAAAUGACUUGCAAAAGAGUGCAGGCAAACUCAAGAGUGACUACAUCUCCUGUUCUGCAGCUCUUAUUCUUUCAUCUCCAGUGUUGCAGGUUUAUUUUGUUUGAACAAAGUCCCUGGGUGAAUUUCCUAUUUGCCUCUGUGUGCGUGUUAUUUGUGGCAGACACUACCUGGUCAGCAGCUCUAGAACUGGAGGCCCUCGACACUAUAUGCUGGGCUUCAGUGGAAAGAGAGAUCUGCUUAAUUUUGUCCCAGGUGAAGGAGUCCAGCGGUUCCUAGCCUGGACUACUGGAAGGUUCCCACAUCCUCUUUGUCACAUUAGUUGAGAUGACUUGCAGUAGAAGUUGUCCACAACUCUGAUGAACUCUGGGACCACUGCAACAGUGGCUCUGCUCCGGGAUGGUAUCGAGCUGGUUGUGGCAAGUGUGGGAGACAGUCGUGCUCUGCUGUGUCGAAAGGGGAAGGCCAUGAAACUCACCACUGACCAUACUCCAGAAAGAAAAGAAGAGAAGGAAAGGAUUAGGAAGUGCGGUGGCUUCAUUACCUGGAACAGUGUGGGACAACCUCAUGUGAAUGGUAGACUUGCAAUGACACGGAGCAUAGGAGAUUUGGAUCUUAAAAACAGUGGUGUGAUAGCCCAGCCAGAAACAAAAAGGGUUCAGUUGCAGCAUGCCGAUGACAGCUUCCUCGUCCUCACUACAGAUGGUAUUAACUUCAUGGUGAACAGUCAGGAGAUCUGUGACUUCAUUAGCCAGUGCCAUGGUCCCGCUGAAGCUGCCCACGUUGUUACUGAGCAGGCAAUACAGUUUGGCACUGAAGACAACAGCACAGUAGUCAUAGUGCCAUUUGGAGCAUGGGGGAAGUACAAAAAUGGCGAGAUCAACUUCUCCUUCAGCCGCAGUUUUGCUUCCAGCGGGAGGUGGGCAUGAAGACCUGCCACAGCUAUCUUUUCCUGCCAUAAUCUGGACACAGCGUGCUACAGGAGAAAACAUCCAUCUGUUCAUAGGUUGACUCGGUGUCUUGUCCAUCUCUUCUGUUCCCAGUGUUAUAGAAGAUGCUACUACUCCGUUGGUGUGUAAUGACCCAUUGUUGCUCAUGGCUGAUCACAUUUUGCUGCAGUUAUUUAUUCCAGUCAGUAUUGGGGCAGCUAUUUCUUUGGGUUUGUAGUCCCAGUAGCUCUGCACGUCACUUUAUUCACAUAAGUGAGGCUCUGGGCUUUCACCUAAGGCUGGAGAUGCACAAUUGUUUCAUACCUACUUGUAUUACCCAGGACCCUUAGUUACCUUGUAGCUAUGUCUGAGUCUGAGCCACAUGCUGGCUUCUUUGUAUGUUAAUACAUGGGGGAACAAACGCACACAGUUCGUAGUUAGACAAAAAGCAGGUUUGUUGUCUUCCUCUGUUGUGCAGCCAUCUGAAACUCCCCUGUGCUUCAGAAGCAGGUGAAAAAUAAGGGAGAAGUGUUUAGGUUCUCAUGCCAGUGGCAUUUGGUGUAGCUGAACUUUCUGAGAGAGUGCUGCUUUGCAGGGCUUUAUUGCUCUCACCAUUAUCAUCUGUGAUCCUCUGGCUCCAAGGAGACGGAGAGGGCUGGAGUCACAUGCCAUUGCACAGAGGGGAAUGUUUCUCCAUUGGGUCCAAAGCCUGUAUGGUAUCUGUGGACCACACAGCAGCCCCUUGCACUGUCUUCUCUUUGGUGUGCCAGUGCUUGACAGGAGCACAGAGAAGGGAAUAGGCUGCUUGUUUUUGACAGCCGAGUCUCUCAUCAACUUGAACUCUUUUUUUAUCUUUUCUUUUUUUUAAUCUCUCUUUUUUUUUUUUUUUUAAAGAAAGAAAAUCAGCUGAUUUCAAAGAAUUUACUAAUCAUAGUUCUUUGGAUGUAUAAGAAGAGAUUAUUUCUUCAUAAAUAUAUGAGGAUUUUCUUGCCCUCCACUGAAGGUUCUUUCUGUUAGUCGUGACCUCCUGUGUCUCUUUGUGGUAUACAGGAAACUGUAAAAUGCCAAAAGCAAGUAAGCUAGAAGAAGGACAGAGCAUUAUAAUAACAUAAGGUAAUUUUUAUAAGUUUUGGGUAUUGUUUCUAGUAUGUGUCAGAUAUUCAGACACCAGAAUGUAGUUUUAUACUUAAAGGAAGCGUUUCUGCUCCCCUCUCUGGAGGGAGCCUGCGUCCAGUGAGGCAUGGCAGGGGCAGCACUCUGAGCCAGCUUGUAUCACUGCUGUGACACAGACUGCAGGUGAUGUGUAGACAGCAGGUGAAGAUCUGUUCCACAGCGUGCCUCGUUCAGACCUCCUUCCUCUGCUCCACAUCAGGCGUGCAGCUCCUCUGGCCUCUGAGUCACCACGUUGCAAUGAAAUAUGGGCAGAUAACAAUUGGUCUCUGCUCAGGCUUGUCACAAUAUUUUUCAUUCUGUGGAUGUUUUCAACAGCACAGUUGUAAAAACCAACAAAACAAGUGAAAAAGAAGCUGCCUGAUAGAAAUAACCUUGCAGUAAGGAAAAAUAUUUGAGAGGCCUGGCCUGAUUCUCAUUUUCCAGUGUGAAGUGUCUUCAUCACUUUCAGCCCUUUCCUUUUAUUUUAGCCCAAGAUUACAGCCUAGGCAGUCAUUCCACAUGUUUUUCCUUGCCUCUGGCAGAAGGCCCAGGAGCACCCAGCAGGCAGUGUUGUACUGACAGCAGUAAGUACCAGUGUUCAGAGAGUAUGCUGGUUUUGUCGCAUCGCUUGGUAUAUACAAUGCGUAUGUUUGGUUUAUAAGUACAAAGAGCUCGUGAGCUGGUAUAUGUAAAUCUCUAUUGUAUUGGAUGCUGUUGCCCAGGCCUCUGUAACAAGAACAUCACUGGUUUAUGAUAAUAAUCCCUUCUCUAUCCACAGAUUUUCCCCAGGGUUGGGGUUAGUUGAAGAUGUCCGUGCUCACUGCAGGGGGUUUGGACUAGUGGCCUUUGGAGGUCCCUUCCAACCCAAACCAUUCUAUGAUGCACCCGAGAUCAGAAUGUUUGCUGGGUGCAGUGCUGGCCUCAUCCUUGCUUACCUGAGGCAGAGGGGCACUUUUAGUUGUUACCAGCCAAAGCAGGUUCUUCUUGGUCUGCGGCAAGUUUGAAGAUUCCCCCAACCCUUUUGUGGCAAAAAUGGCAAAACACAGCUGAAAAGCCUUUCUCCUGCCAAAAACGUGACCUGCUAAAACAGUGAGUCCAAUAGUUGGUAGUAAAGGGUUAACCACAGCACAAAGCAGUUUUACUCCAGCCACAGAGAAGAGUUAGAGUCAAGCUCUGGAGAUGGAGUUGCUGUGGGGGUGGCUUUGGUAUUAAGCAUUAGACAGGCUUGAGUAGUGCUGCAGGAAUUUGGACAAGCUCCAUGGGCCCUGUCCUGUUCCAAAUGCUGCUCAUUUCUGUUCCCUGGCUAGCCAUCUAUCCAGACAGAAAAUAGCAAGGGUGCUGGGGGUGUUUGUGACAAGCACUAAUUUUUUUGGAGUGCUGCUGGAUACUUGCCAAGUUGGAGACAUGGUAUUAAAUGUUGCUAGUGAAAAACACUGCAAAUGAAGAGCAGGUGCUCUGAGCAAUGACCGGGCAGUUAGAGCAGCUUCUACACAUUGACCCAGAUGUAACGUGAAAGAGUUGUUUCUUCAUUGAAGGUUUGGGGCACUUUUUGUUUUGUCCCUAUCUGGUUGCCUGAUUGCAAAGAGAACAAAGUGGUUGGAGGCUUUUAUUUCUUCUAAGAUAGUAGUUAUCCUCUCAGAGGAAGAAUCCAUCCAUAACUUUGCAAAAUAGAUGUUGGAGCUAGAUGAUCUUAAGUUUCUUUCCAACCAUAACCAUUCGAUGAUUCUAUGAUUAGAUAAAGAUGUAUUGGUGGUUGCUGUUACUGUCUUUAUAUGAUCAUCGAAAAACUCAGAUUGGAACGGACUUGUGGGUAUCAUUUAGCCUUGCCUCCUGCUCAAAGCAGGGCUAACUUUAGCAUUGCCUACUGCUGUGAAGGGAUGUCUCCCAAUAUGGAAAUGCAGUGCCUGAAAAAGUAUAUGAGAAAGAAUUCAGCAUGCAAUGCAGUUUACCUGUGGAACCAUUUGACUGUACUGAAUUUGAACACUUACCAGUAUUUAACAGGCACUUUGUAUAGGUACCAAGAAAUUUCACAAAUAAAUUAGCACAUACAGAAACCCAAGAUAUGAGCCAUUUUGCUCUAAGUAAAAGUGAAUAAUACUACUGACAGGGUUUUCUUCUAUCUAGUCAAUAAGCUUCAUGCUGCCUACAGCAGCUCUGCAAGUAACCAGCUUUACACCCCAGGGACCAGCAUGGUUCUCUAGCGUAGCAGAGAGCUCCUUUCAAAUUUUGAGGGCAAAGAGCAAAAUGUCGUAACAGCAGCAGCUGCCUAUCAGAGACGGUUUUUACUGAAGGAUCAUUAGAGGUAUCUUACACUUGAAUGAAACAAAGCAGACUCUCAGUUUGCUCUCUAGCUCCCUGUCUUGCCCUUGCAUCUGUUGUUUUCACAAGAAGAAUGGUAUUUUUUAUUAUAGACUGAACUGAACACUAAGGGGAACCUACUGAGCAAACCAUAACAAAUGUUUGCUUCUUUUCCUACCUUUUAGAGAUUGAUUCUGAACUCCACUGGACCCGGUAACAGUAUUUUCUUGCCUGAACAGUGGUAUAUCUGAAGGUACAGGCACUGCAGGAGGGUGGCUGUGGGUGCAGAAAGGAUGCUUACAUAGGAUCAGGAUGUCAGAUCACCUUUUCUGUCCCAGCAGGUAGAUGUAGCGUGGUCAAAGGCAUUGGGGUUUCUAGCUAAGGGAGAAGCACAAAACAACAGAUACCAGUAAAACUAAUUUAACAUUAUUUUUUUCUUGAAUAAUUCAGUUGGGCACUGCUAGGCCCAUUUGGUCACUUUCACAACAAGCCAAAUGUAUGGCAUAGCAACACUGGGUAUUCAUUGGUUCCAAAGCUGCUGUUCUCAAUGCAGAGAUACCCAGCGGGUGUGCUCUUGAUCCAGGAUAUCGAGUGCUUGGGCAGCAGCAUGUGUCAACUUUCUACAGACUUAAGUGCAAUUGCGUACAUUCAUUACAUAGUUAGCCUUAGGACUGUGUAUAAUUCCUGUGGUUUGAUGUUUAUGUUUGGUGCAAUCAGUGUCCAUAAUUCAUCUACUUAAUUUUAUAGAGGUGUCCAAUUUGCCUUUUUUUUUUUAAUUAAUGUUUGUUCAUCAACUCAAAGCCACAGUGGAGCAGAUAAGUCUGUACUGGAAGGAACGCUUAAAAGAUCUUUUAAUAAAGAAUUGGCUUCUAGACUUGUAUCACUA
Strigops habroptila (Kakapo) is the source of this 9509-nucleotide RNA transcript. It is a transcript of the gene named protein phosphatase, Mg2+/Mn2+ dependent 1K, with no coding region annotated. The transcript has 7 exons. The record is from RefSeq and is a predicted model, not a curated record. Lineage: Eukaryota; Metazoa; Chordata; Aves; Psittaciformes; Psittacidae.